GUCUUUUUGAGUUAUUUUUAAAGUCUGACCUGCCCACUGAAUUUUUUAAAUGGCCGCAGUAUUCUAACUGUGCAAAGGUAGCAUAAUCAUUAGUCUUUUAAUUGAAGGCUGGUAUGAACGGUUGGACGAGGUAUAAGCUGUUUCAUAUAAAUUUACAUUAGAAUUUUAUAUUUUAGUCAAAAAGCUAAAAUGUAGUUAAAAGACGAGAAGACCCUAUAAAUCUUUAUAUUUUAUAUGAUUUAAGUUUUUUUGAUUUGUUUUAUUUUUAUUGUAUUAAAUAUUUUGUUGGGGUGAUGUUAAAAUUUGAUGAACUUUUAAUUUUUUUAAGUCAUUAAUUUAUGAAUUAUUGAUCCAUUAGUAGUGAUUAUAAGAUUAAGUUACUUUAGGGAUAACAGCGUAAUUUUUUUGGAGAGUUCUUAUCGAUAAAAAAGUUUGCGACCUCGAUGUUGGAUUAAGAUAUAGGUUUAGGUGUAGCCGCUUAAAUGUUAAGUCUGUUCGACUUUUAAAUUCUU
This 512-nucleotide ribosomal RNA is filed under the name Dacus durbanensis. RNAcentral's name for it is "partial 16S ribosomal RNA". It matches the Rfam family "Bacterial large subunit ribosomal RNA", at positions 1829 to 2597 of the family's 2925-position model. The record is from RNAcentral. Lineage: Eukaryota; Metazoa; Arthropoda; Insecta; Diptera; Tephritidae.